UACAGAGGUCUCAAGCGUUGUUCGGAUUCAUUGGGCGUAAAGGGUGUGCAGGUGGCGCCGUAAGUCGGGUGUGAAAUUUCGGAGCUUAACUCUGAAACUGCAUUCGAUACUGCGGUGCUUGAGGACUGGAGAGGAGACUGGAAUUCAUGGUGUAGCAGUGAAAUGCGUAGAGAUCAUGAGGAAGACCAGUGGCGAAGGCGGGUCUCUGGACAGUUCCUGACACUGAGACACGAAGGCCAGGGGAGCAAACGGG
RNAcentral lists this ribosomal RNA (253 nucleotides) under uncultured bacterium. Its description in RNAcentral is "partial 16S ribosomal RNA". It matches the Rfam family "Bacterial small subunit ribosomal RNA", at positions 524 to 776 of the family's 1533-position model. The record is from RNAcentral.